GACGAACGCUGGCGGCGUGCUUAACACAUGCAAGUCGAACGGAAAGGCCUUUUCGGAGGUACUCGAGUGGCGAACGGGUGAGUAACACGUGGGUGAUCUGCCCUGCACUCUGGGAUAAGCCUGGGAAACUGGGUCUAAUACCGGAUAGGACCGCACUUUAGUGUGUGUGGUGGAAAGUUUUUUCGGUGUAGGAUGAGCCCGCGGCCUAUCAGCUUGUUGGUGGGGUAAUGGCCUACCAAGGCGGCGACGGGUAGCCGGACUGAGAGGUUGGUCGGCCACAUUGGGACUGAGAUACGGCCCAGACUCCUACGGGAGGCAGCAGUGGGGAAUAUUGCACAAUCGGCGCAAGCCUGAUGCAGCGACGCCGCGUGGGGGAUGACGGCCUUCGGGUUGUAAACUCCUUUCGCCAGGGACGAAGCGUUUUGUGACGGUACCUGGAGAAGAAGCACCGGCUAACUACGUG
RNAcentral lists this ribosomal RNA (463 nucleotides) under uncultured bacterium. RNAcentral's name for it is "partial 16S ribosomal RNA". It matches the Rfam family "Bacterial small subunit ribosomal RNA", at positions 28 to 507 of the family's 1533-position model. The record is from RNAcentral.